GACGAACGCUGGCGGCGUGCUUAACACAUGCAAGUCGAACGGAAAGGCCUCUUUCGGGGGGUACUCGAGUGGCGAACGGGUGAGUAACACGUGAGUAACCUGCCCUUGACUUUGGGAUAACUUCAGGAAACUGGGGCUAAUACCGGAUAGGAGCUCCUGCUGCAUGGUGGGGGUUGGAAAGUUUCGGCGGUUGGGGAUGGACUCGCGGCUUAUCAGCUUGUGGGUGGGGUAGUGGCUUACCAAGGCUUUGACGGGUAGCCGGCCUGAGAGGGUGACCGGGCACACGGGAACUGAGACACCGACCAGACUCCUACGGGAGGCGGCAGUGGGGAAGAUUGGACAAGGGGGGGAAGGCUGAUCCAGCCAUGGCGGGUGGGUGAAGAAGGCCUGCGGGUGGUAAUGCCGGUUUGGGGGGAAAGAAAAGCAGCAGGUUAAGACCCCGCGGGUCUGACGGUACCCAAAGAAGAAGCACCGGCUAACUUCGUG
This 486-nucleotide ribosomal RNA is filed under the name uncultured bacterium. RNAcentral describes it as "partial 16S ribosomal RNA". It matches the Rfam family "Bacterial small subunit ribosomal RNA", at positions 28 to 507 of the family's 1533-position model. The record is from RNAcentral.